CCAACUACAGAAGCAACUUGUGCUUUUAUUUCAGGUUUUCUUUGUCCUGUUUUGCCUACAGCAACUUGACUUUCAAGAUCAUUCCCUUUUUGGAUCGUCAUGACUCGUUCCUUGCUCUAGUUUUUUCAUGCCGUAUAAACAUUGCUGGGCCACAGAGCUUUGGAAGGUAUGGAGAAUGGAUUGCGACAAGGUCGUCAUGACUCGUUCCUUGCUCUACUUUUUUCAUGCCGUAUAAAAAUUAUUGGGCCACAGAGCUUUGGAAGGUAUGGAGAACGCAUUGCUACAAAUCUAAAUUCGUGGGGCCUGUUAUGCACUUUUCCAUCAGAAGGAAGUCACUUGACAUUUGGAAGAGAUAGGAUGUUAUUAUUUAAGCUAUCCCCUAUUUCUGAACCCAAAAUGGGAAAGAGAACCAAAUGUUCUUGAAUUUUUCGGCUAAAGCGUCACAGCAUUGUUUUAUUCUGUAGACAGUCUGCGGAGCGUGUGAAUAUAAGAGAUGGUUAGAGCCUCGGGAAACCACACCAUCAAUCUUUCUAUCGAGUUUCUGUCUUUUGGUUUCUCUUGUGCAUAAAUUAUUAGUAUUUGGAUGUUCAAGCCUUUGGCAUCGUAAAAAAGGCUAGUUGAUCGUCUAUUGAACUUUUGGUUGCACUCAAAUAAAAAGGAAAGAUAGACAAUAAUGCUU
This 679-nucleotide long non-coding RNA is filed under the name Nicotiana benthamiana. RNAcentral's name for it is "long non-coding RNA (NBEN_LNC041195)". Lineage: Eukaryota; Viridiplantae; Streptophyta; Magnoliopsida; Solanales; Solanaceae. The record is from RNAcentral.